Molecule: long non-coding RNA, 890 nt
Filed under: Homo sapiens (human)
Lineage: Eukaryota; Metazoa; Chordata; Mammalia; Primates; Hominidae
Description: HSALNT0381394
Source: RNAcentral
GACAGGAACAGGAUGGCCUCCUGCCCGAAGACUUUCUCUGCAGCCAGGCCCGGGGCAGGAGGGUCAGCUGGGCAGCAUCCGGGCCCGCGGAUUCCUGCAAGGUCGCGAGGACCAGAAGUGCUGCCGCCAGGACAUGGUCCCAGGAGAGAGCUCCCACGCAGAAUAUUAGAAUUACAGCCCCGGCCAUUGAGGUGGAUGAAAGCUGAGCCUUGCUGCGCCAACUUGAGUCUCGUUCACCCUGAGCAGUCACAGAUGGGUCUUGUCUUUUCAGAUGCUCCACGAGGCCAUUGUCACAAUUCCAAGAGCCUGCUGGAUAACCCUGUGAGUGUGUCCAGAAACCUCAAAAUCAUUUUUGGAGACACUGCAGCAGAUUUGGUUUUUCUCAGAGCACUUCUGCAGCUGCUGAAUGCUUGCAGGCACAGGGGUCUCCUGCUUUUCAGACUUUUCCACUACUCCCUUUUCUAUCUUUGAUGCUAAAAGCAGAAUGGACUGAGAGAUGCCUUGGACAUAAGUGAUUUCACAUCUGUAACUAUAUCCUGCAAACAUUUGUAGACACAUCUUGGGAAAGAAGCACUCAUGCUUGCAUCUGUUUCCAACAUCUGUGCAUUUAAGUCAGCAACAAAAGUCACCAGGCAUUUGAGCUUUCCCUGCUAUAAUGUUUCUGAUUUACCUUGACAGCGUGAGUAAUCCAAUCAAAGACAAUAUUCCUCUUGAUUUCAGUAAUGAGAGAGACUACACUUAUCUGAAACCUGUGUUACAUUCAUCUCACCAAUACAGUACUAAUGAAAAGGACAAAUAACUGAGUCUCUCUUGGUGGCCUGCAUGCAACUGCUUAAAUACAUAAGUGCAUAGCAACAAUAUGUGAAUAACAUAUAAAAAUAAAUAUGUUC